RNAcentral lists this ribosomal RNA (789 nucleotides) under uncultured bacterium. RNAcentral's name for it is "bacterial SSU rRNA". It matches the Rfam family "Bacterial small subunit ribosomal RNA", at positions 8 to 798 of the family's 1533-position model. The record is from RNAcentral.
AGAGUUUGAUCCUGGCUCAGGACGAACGCUGGCGGCGUGCUUAACACAUGCAAGUCGAACGGAAAGGCCCCUUCGGGGGUACUCGAGUGGCGAACGGGUGAGUAACACGAGGGUGAUCUGCCCUGCACUUUGGGAUAAGCCUGGGAAACUGGGUCUAAUACCGAAUAGGACCGCAUGCUUCAUGGUGUGUGGUGGAAAGCUUUUGCGGUGUGGGAUGGGCCCGCGGCCUAUCAGCUUGUUGGUGGGGUAAUGGCCUACCAAGGCGACGACGGGUAGCCGGCCUGAGAGGGUGUCCGGCCACACUGGGACUGAGAUACGGCCCAGACUCCUACGGGAGGCAGCAGUGGGGAAUAUUGCACAAUGGGCGCAAGCCUGAUGCAGCGACGCCGCGUGGGGGAUGACGGCCUUCGGGUUGUAAACCUCUUUCAGUAUCGGCGAAGCUCCAGGAUUUUUCUUGGGGUGACGGUAGGUACAGAAGAAGCACCGGCCAACUACGUGCCGGCAGCCGCGGUAAUACGUAGGGUGCGAGCGUUGUCCGGAAUUACUGGGCGUAAAGAGCUCGUAGGUGGUUUGUCACGUUGUCCGUGAAAACUCACAGCUUAACUGUGGGCGUGCGGGCGAUACGGGCAGACUGGAGUACUGUAGGGGAGACUGGAAUUCCUGGUGUAGCGGUGGAAUGCGCAGAUAUCAGGAGGAACACCGGUGGCGAAGGCGGGUCUCUGGGCAGUAACUGACGCUGAGGAGCGAAAGCGUGGGGAGCGAACAGGAUUAGAUACCCUGGUAGUCCAA